GACGAACGCUGGCGGCGUGCCUAAUACAUGCAAGUCGAACGAGAGCGACCGGUGCUUGCACUGGUCAAUCUAGUGGCGAACGGGUGAGUAACACGUGGGUAACCUACCCAUCAGAGGGGGAUAACAUCCGGAAACGGAUGCUAAAACCGCAUAGGUCUUCGAGCCGCAUGGCUUGAAGAGGAAAAGAGGCGCAAGCUUCUGCUGAUGGAUGGACCCGCGGUGCAUUAGCUAGUUGGUGAGGUAACGGCUCACCAAGGCCGUGAUGCAUAGCCGACCUGAGAGGGUGAUCGGCCACAUUGGGACUGAGACACGGCCCAAACUCCUACGGGAGGCAGCAGUAGGGAAUCUUCCGCAAUGGACGCAAGUCUGACGGAGCAACGCCGCGUGAGUGAAGAAGGUUUUCGGAUCGUAAAACUCUGUUGUUAGAGAAGAACAAGUGCUAGAGUAACUGUUAGCGCCUUGACGGUAUCUAACCAGAAAGCCACGGCUAACUACGUG
This 498-nucleotide ribosomal RNA is filed under the name uncultured bacterium. RNAcentral's name for it is "partial 16S ribosomal RNA". It matches the Rfam family "Bacterial small subunit ribosomal RNA", at positions 28 to 507 of the family's 1533-position model. The record is from RNAcentral.